RNAcentral lists this long non-coding RNA (17137 nucleotides) under Setaria italica (foxtail millet). Its description in RNAcentral is "long non-coding RNA (SITA_LNC004281)". The record is from RNAcentral. Lineage: Eukaryota; Viridiplantae; Streptophyta; Magnoliopsida; Poales; Poaceae.
UCAUCGAAUCCGUUGGCCACCUGUGUCAUCUCCGGCGUGAUGUAGACCGAAAUCAUACUGUCAGAAGACCAACACAGAGCUCGAAUCGGAACCGACCCAAAGAAAUCCUGGCUAAGGAUGAAGCAAUCCUUCUCCUCCAUGGGUCCGUCCGCGUCCAUCGGCGAGGCCUCCUGCGGCAACAGGGCCAGCAGCAGCAGCUGAGGAAGCGGCGGCGGUGGCGGAGCCGGGUCCCCGCGGUAGUGUCACACCCGGUUUUAAAGGUAAAACCGAAUGCUACCUAUAUGUAUGCCAGGAUCAAAUUUCAUACAUAUAGUGACAGCAUAAGUGAAUAACAGCAACAGUAUCACGUAAAAAGAUACAAAUAAAGACUUACGAAACCAUCAGAGAUACACAGCUUAAAUACUGGAGAUGGAGGCUCCAAACUUCACAGGCAAUCGACUGGGGGUUGCGUACGCCUAGAACUCCGCACCAUCUUCACAACAACUUCAUAGCAGCUUCUUCUUCUGAGGAACGUUGUUUAUAGCAAGGGUGAGCACUUGUCGUACUCAGCAAGUGUGAGGAGAAUAUGAAUGCAAGGUUAAACAAGGAAAGGCUGACUGGUUGACUGCAUUAAGCAUUUUUAGUUGGUCAAAUUUUAUUAGCACCUGAUUACUAAGGUAUAAGUAUAUACCAACCCACAAUUAAUAUAAACAUAAACAUAAGCCAUAAACACAUGGCAGAAACAUAACCAUAAGCCAUAAGCAUAUGGCACAACCAUAACCAUAGCAUAAACCACAAUUUAAAUCCAUCUUCAAGUAUAUUACUCAUGUGAGGGUCCAGGCCGCUCUUGACCAUGAGCAUGGCUGAUCGAUCAGUUUUACACUCUGCAGAGGUCGCACAUCUUUACCCACAAGUCGCGUAAAAGUUCAAAAGAACUUUAGACCCAACCACGCUUGUGCUGAUCAGGCACAAUUGUGGCAGAACCACCUCAGAUUAGCUUGAUUCAGCAAGAUUAAGUCGCCUAACAUGCGACACUUCUGCUUAAAUCGAGCUAACACGGGGUGCCGUCGGAUUUCAUCCGAUUUAACCACUUAACAAGAUCGAGUCUAGCAAACCCACACGAAGGUGAGCGGUUAUAGAGAAUACAACGAGUCCACUGAGUUAAGCAGGUCUUACUCAAUUAGUUCGGUCAUAAAAAUUUACAUCAGAGUUUUACAGGUUUUCAAGAAAAUCAACAGAGAAAAGCUAGCGGAAGACUUCGUCGGGGUCGGAUAUCCGGGCGAGGCCAGCCAGAACAUCACUGAGUCCUCUCCUCGCCGUCCGAGGAGGGGUCCCACUCGACCGUCCAGCCUGGCGGGAGCUGGGGCGGCCAAGCACCAACCAGAGAGGGGUCGGACGCGGCAACUUCACCUGAAAACAGAAGCCACAACAAGGUUGAGCUACUAAGCUCAACAAGACUUAACCGACCGGAGUAAGGACUACUCCUCCUUCUAGACAUGCAAGGCUUCUUGGCUGAGGGGUGUGUUUGCCAAAAGCACUAGUAACCUAAUUUUCAAGUUUUAGCUCCGGUUCUAGGUUCAUUUACCAGUCUAGGUUGUGCAACCUGUUCUAAGCAAACAUAGAGCCAAACAAGAUGUGUAAGUAUAACAACAAACAUUGCCAUCAUCAGAUUCCUCAUUUACUCAGGGUGACAUAGCGAUCAAGAAAUCUCAGACUGUGAGAGGCAGACGAAUCGAUUCGAGUUCUUUAACCAUGCAUGGUGAACCUAGCCUCACGACAUCCGCGCACCCGGAGAUCGCUUCCUGUGUCGGCCUUCCCCAUCAAUCCCCUAACCCGUGUCGGGCCCAUUUCCUUUGGUGCAAGGUUCCACAGACCCGGCCUCUGCCGUCCUGUGACCACGCUUUGCCACCACGUGCGACAACCAGCAGGGGAAACUCCAUUCCAAGAACAAUGGGGCGACCGCUCACGUCUAGGUUCAAUCAGGUACUAAGCUUCCUCAUCCCAUACUAAGUAUGAGGCUAGUACUUUCAAACACUUGAUCAUGAACACCACCACUGUCGGACCUUAGCAAGUUUUCAUAGACAGACGGGGCGACCAUCCGACCACCAAAAAGUUACCAUACCCUGCCCCGUCCAUCGUCCUUAUAGUUGUAACAGGAGAGUAAAUCAUGCAACUCCUACAACUCGCGAGUGACAGGAGAUCACUCGGCUUUUACCGUCUCCUAUUUAAGCAAUGCAACUACUCGGUCCAACAGCUAGUGCUCAUAUCAAGGGUCAACUAGGUCGUGCAUCUAGGGUUUCACACAACUCCUAAACGUAAAUGCACAAACAUGCUAUACGGAAGGCAUGCGCAAGUUUGGCGAAACACGUAGGAUUCUCAUGCAACCGGGGCUUGCCUGCAAGCAAAGGGGACGGAAGUUGCUCGACUUCUGGGGCGACUUCGGCUUCCGCGGGCAGGAACUCGGCUACAGCUUCUUCGUCGGGCGCCGGGUGCAACUCGUAGAAGCCGUCGGCGAGGUGCAGCUCUACACGAAUGCAAUGCAAGGGUUAGCUUAAAUGUUUAUUUCAACAGCAACACUGGCUCGCCUGAGCCCAGAAACUUGCGACAAGGAGCAGGAGGUUAUGAUGGUUCGAGAGAGCUGAUGAUGAUCAAGAGGUAAGGGUAGGAAGGAACUAGUGGUCUGAUUCUUGAACUAGAGGAUGUGAUAACUGGGAUUCUUAGACGCAAGCGCUACAGGGUUCCCAAGUUUUACACUUACACCCUCAAGUUGAAGAAAAAGAUCACAGCCAAGCCCUCGGGCGAGGCGGAACAGACAGGGUCGGACGAGACGGAACCGGGGUCGGGCGGAUAGGAGGGGUCGGGUGAGACGGACUUAGGGUCGGCAACUCACCUUCUUCCUGAAAGGAAAGCUUGGGGUCAGGAAGAGGCAGACUUGGGCGGAAGGUCUAAAGCUUCGAGGAAGGGCUAAGACCGGCAAUGCUCCGGCGGCGGCGCUGCUUCUUGCGGAUCACAAGAGAGCUCUACGCAGCACAAAAGAGCAAGCUGCUGGGUGACUUGGAGGAACUGAGAAGGAACUGGGAGAAGAACUUCUCAAGAACUGGGUGGGUGGCGCUAGGAGCUUGAGUAGGGAGCUAGAGAAGGCUAAAGGCAACAAAGGCGGAGGGAAGUCCGGUGACGGGGGCAUUCCUUUUAUAGCUGCUGGAGCAGAGGAACGGAAACGUCGCGGAGAGAGAGAAGGGGAGCGGCGCGAAGGCCGGGAAGAAGCAAUGGAGUGCUCUGCCGUGGCGGCGAUUGAGCAAACAGGGCGGUGCCGCAGGACUCCGGGGGUGACGCCAGCGAUCAUUGCGCUAUACCGUCAGGGCGGCGUAGGCGCUGGUAGACCGGUGGUUGGAAUUUGGCGGAAAGCGGGCAUCGCCGUGCGCAAGAGGUGAUGGAAGCGACCGGUUAAACGGCGCUAGAAUCGAGGGCGCACAGGUGAGAAGACAGGCGGACGCGGGCGCGGGGGAGAGCGCGGAACAACAGAUUGUCGGGCGGCUUCUGACAGAGCGGGGAAAGGAACUAUCGCGGACAUGGUCGGGGUUGGCGGUGGGGGAAUCGUCGUGUAGCGACGACCGGGCGGCGCAACUGUUGUUGAAGGGUUGGAAAAGACGGGCGACAUCGGUCUCCGGGGCCGGGAUCUGGUAUCGUGAUGAUGGGCGCGGGAGACGAGGCUCUGCCGAAAGGGGUGCAGAGGGCUUCCGCUGCCAUUGGGGAAAAGGGGCGCGGGAACCCACUCUGCGGCUUGUCAGAGACAAAACUGAGCGACGGCGUCGGAGAAGGCGAGCCACGCGGCAAGGAAAACUCUGAGGCGGCCAUGCAACUCGAGUGCGGCUAUCGCGGAGGAUCUGGAAAAGAUCUCACGGGUCCACCGGGGGGAACAAGAUCGGACGGGUGAGGAAGGUCAGCAGGAUCCGAUGGUCGGGCUGAGCUCGCGGGGGUCGGGAGAGGAGCGAAACAGGUAGGGGUCGGAGCUCAGGGGUCGGGACCGGCGGAAACUGGGCACUUAGGUGCGGUCAAACAAAACAGCUGACUAAGGUUAAGGGCUGGGAUUAAGCCUAACUGGGAAGGCUUAGGGGUCGGUCGUUACAGCCUACCCCUCUUAAAAAGAAUAUCGUCCCGAGAUUCAAGGAUCAAGGGUGUGUCGUUCUUACCUCCUUGAUGGGACAGAAAACCUGGGAAACGCUUGUUCAGAUACUCGUCCGUUUCCCAUGUUGCUUCAUCUUCGGUGUGGUUUCUCCAAAGGAUCUUGUACAUCUUUACCACUUGGCGUCGGGUGUGCCUUUCCUUUUGGUCAAGAACUCGAUCUGGGUACUCGGCGUAGGUCAGGUUAGGUUCUACUUGAAGCUGUUCUUGUUCUAAGAUCUCCGCUGGAACUCGGACACAUUUCUUCAGUUGAGACAUAUGGAAAACAUCAUGUAUGGCUGAUAGCUGUUCUGGGAGUUGGAUCCGGUAAGCAACGGGUCCACAUCUCUCCAAAAUCUCAUAAGGGCCAACAUAGCGGGGAGCUAACUUGCCUUUUAUUCUAAACCGUUGCACUCCUUUGGUCGGGGAGACUCGAAGGUACACAUGAUCACCAAGGUCGAACUGCAGGGGUCUCCUCCACUGGUCGGAGUAACUCUUCUGUCGAGAUUGGGCAGCCUUGAGAUUUGCCUGAAUUACCUUCACUUGUUCUUCGGCUUCUGCCACUAAGUCAGGGCCAUAAACCUGUCUCUCUCCUGGUUGGGACCAAUUCAAGGGUGUCCUGCAUCUCCGGCCGUACAGGGCCUCAAACGGUGCCAUCUUCAAACUGGCCUGAUAGCUGUUGUUGUAGGAGAACUCUGCUAAGGGCAGGCACUUGUCCCAGCUUUUAUCGUAGUGGAUAACACAAGCUCUUAGCAUGUCUUCGAGGAUCUGAUUUAUUCUCUCGGUUUGGUCAUCGGUUUGGGGAUGAUAUGUUGAGCUUCGGAUGAGCUUGGUGCCUAUAGAUGCUUGUAAUUGCUCCCAAAAACGGGCUACAAACUGAACUCCUCGAUCAGAGACGAUGGUCUUGGGUACACCAUGUAGGGAAACAAUACGGUCGAGGUACAACUCUGCAUAUUGCUUGACUGUAUAGGUGGUACGAACAGGAAAGAAAUGUGUUGUCUUGGUCAGACGGUCCACUAUAACCCAGAUGGAAUCAUACCGUUGAGUUGUAACGGGUAAUCCAACUAUGAAGUCCAUGCUGAUGUCUUCCCAUUUCCAAGAGGGAAUAGGUAGCGGCUGCAGGGUUCCUGCUACCUUCAAGUGACUGGCCUUGACAUGUUGACAGGUGUCACAUAAUGAAACGUAACGAGCUAUCUCCGGUUUCAUCCCACUCCACCAAAAGGUCUGACGGAGAUCAUGGUACAUCUUGUUGCUGCCAGGGUGGAUUGAGAACUUGGAAAGAUGAGCUUCAUCUAGGAUCUGCUUCCUCAACUCGGGGUCGGUGGGCACUACUAGUCGGUUUCCAUAAUACACACCUCCCAUUUCGUCCUGACGGAAACGCUUAUAUCCUUCAUCCUUUACCGAGAUCUUACUGAGGACUCGUUUUAUUUCUUCAUCCUUAGCUUGUGCUGACCGAAUUCGGUCCUCCAAAACUGAGUCAAGGAUGAUGUGAUCAAGGGUUCCAUAGGGAACAAUCUCCAGACUUAGUUUUCUCAUCUCGUGACACAGAGUGUUGGUGAAGGCGGUUGACAACAAGCAGUUGCACUGGGGUUUGCGACUGAGGGCAUCAGCUACCACAUUGGCCUUGCCAGGAUGAUAGUGCACUUCCAACUCAUAAUCCUUUAUCAACUCCAGCCAUCUUCUCUGACGCAUGUUGAGAUCGGCUUGAGUGAAGAUGUACUUGAGGCUCUUGUGGUCGGUGUAGAUGUUGCAGUGAGCUCCCAUUAAGUAGUGCCUCCAUAUCUUCAAGGCAUGUAUCACUGCUGCCAACUCAAGGUCAUGGGUCGGGUAGUUCAGCUCAUGAGGUCGUAACGCACGUGAGGCAUAGGCAAUGACUCGGCUGUCUUGCAUAAGAACACAUCCGAGUCCAGUGCCAGAGGCGUCACAGUAUACGUCAUACGGCCUAGAGGGGUCGGGUUGAGCCAAAACUGGGGCGGUGGUUAGCAAGUGCUUCAGGGUCUUGAAAGCUUCUUCACACUUGGUGUCCUACACAAACUUGACCUCUUUGUUCAGCAACUCGGUCAUCGGCUUAGCUAUCUUGGAGAAAUCCGGUAUAAAACGCCGAUAGUAACCUGCCAGUCCAAGGAAACUCCUGAUCUGGUGUACUGAGGUAGGAGACUUACAUUCCAUGACUUCUUGCACCUUGAUGGGAUCCACGGCGAUACCGUCCUUGGAGAUAGUGUGUCCCAGAAACUUGACACUAUCUAACCAAAACUCACACUUGGAGAAUUUUGCAUAAAGCUGGUGAUCUCUCAGCCGUUGGAGAACUAUACGAAGAUGGUUGGCAUGCUCCUCUUCAUUCUUUGAGUACACCACUACAAACUUGUCCAGCUCGGGCAUAAACACCGAGUUCAUAAGGUACAUGAAGUAAGCGGGUGCAUUGGUGAGUCCAAAGGACAUGACUAGGUACUCAUACAAUCCAUAUCUGGUAGAGAAAGCUGUCUUGGGUAUGUCGCAGGGUCGAAUCUUUAUUUGGUGAUAACCAGAACGAAGAUCGAUCUUGGAGAACACUUUCGCUCCAGCUAAUUGAUCGAACAAGACAUCAAUGCGUGGCAGUGGGUACUUGUUCUUGACUGUUACCGCAUUGAGGAGUCGGUAAUCCACACACAUCCGUAAACUGCCGUCUUUCUUCUUCACAAACAGGGCGGGGCAACCCCAAGAUGAUGUACUGGGUCGAAUGAAGCCCUUUUCCAGCAGAUCAUGCAACUGGGUCUUCAACACGGCUAACUCAGCGGGUGGCAUCCGAUAGGGUCUCUUAGAUAUCGGGGCUGUGCCAGGAACCAACUCUAUGGAAAACUCAACUUCUCGAUCAGGUGGCAUACCUGGCAAAUCUUCUGGAAACACAUCUGGGUACUCACUGAUAAUAGGGAGGUCUUCUAAACGGGCUCCCAAGAGAGGGUAGGCACAAGGAGUCGAAGACUCAGGAUGGGUCAAGGAUAGGGUAGAACUGCCUUGAGAGGGUGAGCUGAUGUAAAGAGAUCGGGCUGAUGUAUCUAAAACAACAUGAUGUCGGGCCAUCCAAUCCAUGCCAAGGAUAACAUCUAGGCCUUCAAGGUCAAGGAUGAUAAGGUUUUCCUUGAAGAGGGUGGGGCCUAGCUGGAGAGGUACAAGAAUAACGACCUGAUCCGACGUUAUCCUUCCUCCAGGAGUGGCGAUCACAUAGGGUUCCUUAGUGUGACCGACACUUAGCCCACAUCUUUCCCUUGCCUUACUCCCGACAAAGCUAUGAGAGGCUCCCGAAUCAAACAACACAACAACAGCUUGAUUUAAAACAAGGAAAGUACCCUUCAUUACUGACGCACCUUCGGGAAGUUCGGUCAAGCUGGUGUAGUUGAGUCGGCCUUGUCGGACUUGCACCUUGGGCCUUCUUCCUCUGGCUGCCACGGGGUUCUGGUCUUGCUGCUGAUUCUUGUUCCUGGGGCAGUCCUUUGCAAAAUGCCCCUCAUUGCCGCAGGUAAAACAUCUGUUACUGGCUGCCGGGCGAGGUGGCGUUGGCAGGGUCGGCCGGGGUACUUGUGGUUGGAAGCCUGGGAAACGAGGCAUUGCGGCCGGCGGGGGUCGGGCGAUCCAUUUCCCUGACUGUUGGGGUCGGCCAGGGGCUUGUGGAGGAACCAUCCGGAAUCUUCGAGUUGGCGGGCUCGGAAAAGCCACAGAGGCUUUCCUCUUCUGGUCGGCCUUGAGAGCUUGCAUGCAGUCCUCCUGGGAGAUGGCCAGGUUGACCAACUCAUUAUAGGUGUCCACCCUGAUGGGGUUCAGCCUUUCCCUGAGCUCCAAGCUCAGUCCUCGGCGGAAUCUGUCCCGCUUCUUCUCAUCGGUGUCCGCAUGAUAGCCAGCAUAACGGCAUAGGUCAUUGAACGCCUGGCGUUGUGCAGCACAUCCCGAGUUCCUUGGGUGAGGGCCAGAAACUCGUUGAGCUUGCGCUCCAGGAGACCUUCGGGAAUGUGAUGCGCUUUAAACGCCGUCUUGAACUCGUUCCAACUGAUCACGUGGCCAGCAGGUAGCGUGGCAUGGUAGUGGUCCCACCAAAGCUGUGCGGAACCACGCAGCUGCUGAGCUGCGAACCGCACCUUGUUGUUGUCGGGGCAUGGAGCGGUGAGGAGCUCGAACUUGGAUUCGAUCGUACGAACCCAUGCAUCAGCGUCGAGCGGUUCUUGUGUCUUUUGGAACAGCGGGGGCUGCAUCCCCAGAAAGUCCUCGUACCGCACGAUAUGCGGCUGCUGCUGUACUCUACCAACCUGUGCUGUUGCUGGUGUCCCUGCACCAGAUGCCGUAGCAGCUCGGUUUGAGUUGCUAGGAUUGCUUCCAACGGCGAUGGGGGCGGGGGCGGGGGAAGAUCCUGUCGCUGAUCACUACCACUGGGCACAGAUCCAGACCUGGUGUGGUGCGCCAUCUGCAAGAGUUAACGCCCCAUUACUUUCAUAACCUUAGGUGUACUCCAACAUAUGGAACGUAUGAAAUAAAUCCCUUAAUGCGACUCUUGCCCAUGGUGCAUCACACGUCCUCAUAGAGGAAGCACAUUCCUCCCAUUCUCAGCAUAGAUAACCUCUACUUACCCUGGCACUUCACUUGAGGCACACAUACCUCAUACAGGUUCCUAGGAUCUGAUCCUCUCAAACCAAGGGGUCGGAUACGGUCCGUACUCAAAAAGGGUCGGACGAGGCGGUAACUGCCUCAAGGGUCGGCGCACUCUGGCCCGCAAACUAGGGUCGGCCAACUGAACAGGCUCCCCGAAAACAACAUAGGGUUACGGCGCAACUUACUCAACCCUAGCAUCCACACCAUACGAAAAGAUAAAACUAUGCACCGGUUGACUUUAUACACAACGAGGUUUCAACACAGGGAAUACUCAACUCAAGGCUAACCUAUUACAGCUUUCCAAAAACUAGGCUGCCGAGGAGUACAACCAAAGAAAGAAGGUUCCCUGAGAACCCUUAAGCUACCACUGGACACUAUGAGUCGGAGAAGGGGCGCCAUCUUCUUCUAUGUCCAUGCUGGUCGCUCCCUCGUCUUCCUCAGGGUCCUCCUGAGCUUCAAGCUGCAUGUUGAGGGCAUGCAUAUCUUCAAGCUCAGCUUGGUGCUCCUCAAGGUGGGCAUUGGCGACUGCCAACUCCAUCUCCACCUCCAUCUUCUCCUCCGAGAGCUCUAUCAUGCCAUCCACGAGGUCGGCAACUUCUCCUUCCAGCUCGGAGAUCCGAUCUUGCAUGUCGUGGAUCUGGAUACCACGUUGGAUCAGCUGGUAGGUUUGGCCUACCAGGUCUCUUCUAGCUGCCUGGAGGUAUCCGUGGGUGUCUGCAGCCAUCCGGGCAAAGAGAGUCAUGGCUCUUCCUUGGAGCUCUAUCAACCGGUAGAGAGCAGCCAUGCAACGGACAUUGGUGGAGAUGGUGACCAUAGCACAGGUAGUGGCCAACACCUCGAGGUUUCCGAUGCGGUCCAGCCAAGCCGGGUCCAGCCGACUCCUGACGGGAAAAAGAUCGAUCGGGUCCAACGUGAUCUCCACAGGGUGCAACUGACAGAACUGAGUGAGCAACUGAAGGGUGGCGGAUUCCCACGUGUCUUCCGGAGAAAGACCAUAGGCUAUUAUGCCCAGAGAGGGCCAGUCGGGCCGUGCAAGGGGAGGUGGUACCAACGCUUGCACCUAGCACGUCUGAAUGCCCUGCUCCAUAUACAGCUGCCCAGCAUACAGGGGCGGGGACUGAUACCCAAACCACCUCAGCGUAUCCCACAAGAUCGCGGGAAACCCCUCGAAAUGCAGGCAUGUUGAUUGGAAGGUACCGUCCGCUCCAAAAACCACAUGCCCGGGAACAGCCAUCUGGAACCAAGAAAACCGAAACCACGUGAGAUAACUCCGAGGAUCAGGGGUCGGAUAGAGAAGCAGAAGGGCUUAACCGAGAGCAACUAAGAGGAACUAGAAAUCCUUAGAUCCAAAAGAACUCUUUCGAACAGGGCUGCUGUUGAGAAGGAAACAUUACAGAUUUUAGGUAUGACGCAUGCACGGCCUACCGUUCUCUUAACCAAAAACAACUGCCCAAACUUUGGGUCUUACGCGGUCAGCGCCGGUGACAAGGCAACAAUACGUCUCUCCCUAUAAUAACUAGCCGGUUCUAGCAACGCCUUAACGAGCGCGGUUAGCAAACUGCAGAAAAGCACCACACACGAACCUUCCGUGCCAGCACCCACGAAAGCGUUCCCAAACAUUACCGCUCACUAUAGGAACGGCACCCAUGCGUUUAAGGCUGCAUGGACAUCACUCAACCGUGGAAAUAGGCUCCCUUUGAAUGGAUCCCUAUAACCCUUCGCACACUCGUGAUGCGGAAUCGGCACACGUAUGACAAACGUGGCGAAACAGCCGUGCCGAUAGGUUCGUUGGAAUCGAACCGUAUCAACCUUCGUAUGGAUCACAUACGGAACCUGCGCACGUAUAAUAGACAUGGGCGAAAACAACCGCGAAGAUAGGGUCCCUUGAAUGGAACUCCCUAUCAACCCUCGCAUGCUCGCGAUGCGGAACUCGGCACACGUAUAAUAGACGUGGCGAAGUGCUGGAGGAGUUAGCAACAUAACCAGAUACUUAUUAGUCACCUGAAACAACCCCAAAAUCCCCUAGGGCCUCUCGCACUAAGUCAUCCUUAACGAUCGUACGAGAUUUUCAAAAGGUUCUUGCAACUUUUACAUUAUCAAAGAAGUGUUGAGGGCUCAUUGGGUUCUCUGAUAUGCUAAACACGGCUCUGAUACCAGCUGUGGCGGAACCACCUCGAAUUAGCUUGAUUCAGCAAGAUUAAGUCGCCUAACAUGCGACACUUCUGCUUAAACCGAGCUAACACGGGGUGCCGUCGGAUUUCAUCCGAUUUAACCACUUAACAGGAUCGAGUCUAGCAAACCCACACGAAGGUGAGCGGUUACAGAGAAUACAACGAGUCCACUGAGUUAAGCAGGUCUUACUCAAUUAGUUCGGUCAUAAAAAUUUACAUCAGAGUUUUACAGGUUUUCAAGAAAAUCAACAGAGAAAAGCUAGCGGAAGAGUUCGUCGGGGUCGGAUGUCCGGGCGAGGCCAGCCAGAACAUCACUGAGUCCUCUCCUCGCCGUCCGAGGAGGGGUCCCACUCGACCGUCCAGCCUGGCGGGAGCUGGGGCGGCCAAGCACCAACCAGAGAGGGGUCGGACGCGGCAACUUCACCUGAAAACAGAAGCCACAACAAGGCUGAGCUACUAAGCUCAACAAGACUUAACCGAUUGGAGUAAGGACUACUCCUCCUUCUAGACAUGCAAGGCUUCUUGGCUGAGGGGUGUGUUUGCCAAAAGCACUAGUAACCUAAUUUUCAAGUUUUAACUCCGGUUCUAGGUUCAUUUACCAGUCUAGGUUGUGCAACCUGUUCUAAGCAAACAUAGAGCCAAACAAGAUGUGUAAGUAUAACAACAAACAUUGCCAUCAUCAGAUUCCUCAUUUACUCAGGGUGACAUAGCGAUCAAGAAAUCUCAGACUGUGAGAGGCAGACGAAUCGAUUCGAGUUCUUUAACCAUGCAUGGUGAACCUAGCCUCACAACAUCCGCGCACCCGGAGGUCGCUUCCUGUGUCGGCCUUCCCCAUCAAUACCCUAACCCGUGUCGGGCCCAUUUCCUUUGGUGUAAGGUUCCACAGACCCGGCCUCUGCCGUCCUGUGACCACGCUUUGCCACCACGUGCGACAACCAGCAGGGGAAACUCCGUUCCAAGAACAAUGGGGCGACCGCUCACGUCUAGGUUCAAUCAGGUACUAAGCUUCCUCAUCCCAUACUAAGUAUGAGGCUAGUACUUUCAAACACUUGAUCAUGAACACCACCACUGUCGGGCCUUAGCAAGUUUUUAUAGACAGACGGGGCGACCAUCCGACCACCAAAAAGUUACCAUACCCUGCCCCGUCCAUCGUCCUUAUAGUUGUAACAGGAGAGUAAAUCAUGCAACUCCUACAACUCGCGAGUGACAGGAGAUCACUCGGCUUUUACCGUCUCCUAUUUAAGCAAUGCAACUACUCGGUCCAACAGCUAGUGCUCAUAUCAAGGGUCAACUAGGUCGUGCAUCUAGGGUUUCACACAACUCCUAAACGUAAAUGCACAAACAUGCUAUACGGAAGGCAUGCGCAAGUUUGGCGAAACACGUAGGAUUCUCAUGCAACCGGGGCUUGCCUGCAAGCAAAGGGGACGGAAGCUGCUCGACUUCUGGGGCGACUUCGGCUUCCGCGGGCAGGAACUCGGCUACAGCUUCUUCGUCGGGCGCCGGGUGCAACUCGUAGAAGCCGUCGGCGAGGUGCAGCUCUACACGAAUGCAAUGCAAGGGUUAGCUUAAACGUUUAUUUCAACAGCAACACUGGCUCGCCUGAGCCCAGAAACUUGCGACAAGGAGCAGGAGGUUAUGAUGGUUCGAGAGAGCUGAUGAUGAUCAAGAGGUAAGGGUAGGAAGGAACUAGUGGUCUGAUUCUUGAACUAGAGGAUGUGAUAACUGGGAUUCUUAGACGCAAGCGCUACAGGGUUCCCAAGUUUUACACUUACACCCUCGAGUUGAAGAAAAAGAUCACAGCCAAGCCCUCGGGCGAGGCGGAACAGACAGGGUCGGACGAGACGGAACCGGGGUCGGGCGGAUAGGAGGGGUCGGGCGAGACGGACUUAGGGUCGCAACUCACCUUCUUCCUGAAAGGAAAGCUUGGGGUCGGGAAGAGGCAGACUUGGGCGGAAGGUCUAAAGCUUCGAGCAAGGGCUAAGACCGGCAAUGCUUUGGCGGCGGCGCUGCUUCUUGCGGAUCACAAGAGAGCUCUACGCAGCACAAAGGAGCAAGCUGCUGGGUGACUUGGAGGAACUGAGAAGGAACUGGGAGAAGAACUUCUCAAGAACUGGGUGGGUGGCGCUAGGAGCUUGAGCAGGGAGCUAGAGAAGGCUAAAGGCAACAAAGGCGGAGGGAAGUCCGGUGACGGGGGCAUUCCUUUUAUAGCUGCUGGAGCAGAGGAACGGAAACGUCGCGGAGAGAGAGAAGGGGAGCGGCGCGAAGGCCGGGAAGAAGCAAUGGAGUGCUCUGCCGUGGCGGCGAUUGAGCAAACAGGGCGGUGCCGUAGGACUCCGGGGGUGACGCCAGCGAUCAUUGCGCUAUACCGUCAGGGCGACGUAGGCGCUGGUAGACCGGUGGUUGGGAUUUGGCGGAAAGUGGGCGUCGCCGUGCGGAAGAGGUGAUGGAAGCGACCGGUUAAACGGUGCUAGAAUCGAGGGCGCACAGGUUAGAAGACAGGCGGACGCGGGCGCGGGGGAGAGCGCGGAACAACAGAUUGUCGGGCGGCUUCUGGCAGAGCGGGGAAAGGAACUGUCGCGGCCGCGGUCGGGGUUGGCGGUGGGGGAAUCAUCGUGUAGCGACGACCGGGCGGCGCAACUGUUGUUGAAGGGACGGAAAAGACGGGCGACAUCGGUCUCCGGGGCCGGGAUCUGGUAUCGUGAUGAUGGGCGCGGGAGACGAGGCUCUGCCGAAAGGGGUGCAGAGGGCUUCCGCUACCAUUGGGGAAAAGGGGCGCGUGAACCCACUCUGCGGCUUGUCAGAGACAAAACUGAGCGACGGCGUCGGAGAAGGCGAGCCACGCGGCAAGGAAAACUCUGAGGCGGCCAUGCAACUCGAGUGCGGCUGUCGCGGAGGAUCUAGAAAAGAUCUCACGGGUCCACCGGGGGGAAAAAGAUCGGACGGGUGAGGAAGGUCAGCAGGAUCCGAUGGUCGGGCUGAGCUCGCGGGGGUCGGGAGAGGAGCGAAACAGGUAGGGGUCGGAGCUCAGGGGUCGGGACCGGCGGAAACUGGGCACUUAGGUGUGGUGAAACAAAACAGCUAACUAAGGUUAAGGGCUGGGAUUAAGCCUAACUGGGAAGGCUUAGGGGUCGGUCGUUACAAUAAUACCACACUUCCGAGGUGUGAUUGCAUAGGGACGCUACGAGGCCUUUACAAAGAUUCAUUAGUCAGUGGUAACCCGCUAAGGUUUCGGUGUCUGGCGUGCACCACCCAUCCCAGGCAAAAUGCAACGACUCAGUCCCCCCUCUUGCCUCAUCACGAGUAAGGUCACCCCAGACUAAGGUUUCUAAUUAUUCAGCCAAGACCAGAGCCAUUUAGUCUUGUGGUAGCACUGUUUUCCUGGGUGGUCGCUCCAUGUUCCAAUUAAAAUAUUGUGAUCUUGUAUUAACAAAAGGUAAUAUCAUAAACAGAAUAAGUUCACCAUGCUGUUCAUUAGAACCACCAUAACCCAAGUAUAGCAGCUAAGCAUAGCUACCCAACAGAAAGGUAAACCCAGGUUGGCAAGGAAUAAUCAUAAAAACUAGGCAAACCUUAAUAGGACCCAACAAAUUUAAUGCAAGCAUAUGCAAUAGUGAUUAAACAAAGUUAUUAGGACAAAAGUACAAGGACACACUUGCCUUUCUCCAACGAAAAGUUACUCUUACUUCUCUUCGGCUCUUGCUCACUUGAAACUCUUAAUCUUCAAAGCUUUCGAACAGCGAUCCUUCUACUUGAAGCAAUCACCGGCACAAUCAUACAAGCAAGCAAACAAAUACAACUAAGAGCAGUACACCAAAACAAAAGGAAAGCUUUAAAAGAGCGUACUAACGACAAGGCUCGAUCUAAGGUCACGCGAACGUAAGGAACGCUUAAAACGGAACUAUGGUUGAAAAGAUAAAGCUAUCGAGAGUUUUGAAUUAUAAAAGAAAGAUAAGAGCUACAAGCUUUAUUUAUUUUAGUUGAGAAAAGCAAUGUAAAGAUAUUUCACAGAAAUAUCCUUAGUUAGAAUUAAUCAAGUCACAUUUAUAUUUUCAUAAGAAAAGACGGUGUAAAGCUUAGUCCAAUUUUAUUUAUAAAUAUUUGAGUACAAUUUAUGCAAAUUAAACAUUUAAUUUAAAAAUAAGAUACAUGUAGACAUCAAGCGUAUAGCUUUACAUCUCGAGUUCAACUAAGUAGAUUAGAUUAAAAACACAUUUAUAUUUAUAUUAGCCAAAUUAAUAUUUAAUUAUGAAAACUCGAGAUAUAACCCAUACAGAUUUUAUUUAGAAAACAAAUUGAAUAAACAUUAAUCAAAUUGAAUUUAAUUUAUGAAACGCCGAGGUAUAACUCUAAGUGGCUUUUAAUUGGAAGAAUUAUUUAGAUACGCAUUAAUCCAAUUAACUUUAGUUUAUGAAAAACCGAUAUAUAACCUAAUUGGCUUUUAUUUAGAAGAGGGUAUGAAGUAGGCAUUAAUCAAAUUAACAAUUAUUAUGAAAAACGAUGUUUAACACUAAAUAGAUUUUAUUUAGAGAAGAACUCGUUUGUCAAGCAUUAACCAAUUUUAAUAUAAAUUUUAUUUUUAAAAACAUGUGUGUAGGAAAACAUUACCACUAACGUGUAAUUUACAUCAUUAUGAAUCUAACGCAACUUGAACGGACGAAAAGGGAAUUAAAACGUAGAAUCUAUGGGUUAAAUAACGUUGCAGGGGUCUAAACGUAAUUAACCGUAGACUUGGAGGGUUAGCUGAGAAGAUUACCAAGACUCAGAGAAUAGUCACUGUGAAUAGAUGGAUCUUCGGGGUUAGAUCUGCAAAAGAGGAUGGCUUGGAUCAGAUUGCAAGGAACUGAAAAGUUCAGGGGUUAUUUGAAGAGUUUCCAAGACUCAAAGGAAGAAGCGAACUAAUUAAAGGAUCUUUGGGGGCCUUGACGCAAAACUGACAGUCUUCUUCUUCCUCACGCCAGGGGCACGGUGCACCUCCUGGCCGGCGGCCUGCCGGGGCUCCGGUGCGACGGGGACUCGGGUGAGUGGUCUAGGCGGUGGUGGCCGGGCUGCUGGCCCCAGCGGUAAUGCGGGCACGAGGUACGGGCGGCGUCUCGGCCAGGAGCAGGCGGCGGACAGAAACAGAAGGCAGUCUGUUACGGUUGCAAAAACAAGGAAAAGAGAGAGAAAGAGGGAAUCGCCGGAAACGAAGUCCGAUCUCGCGCAUGAACGGAAAAAUGGAACGUUAUCGACGAGGCGAACAAGAUGGUGUGCUCACCUUCGGCAAGAGAUGAACAAUGGCGACGGAAAAGCUCGCCGGAGUUGGGGAAGAUGACGGAGCCGACAUCGGAUUCAUGCAAUCCACCACACCACGGCGUAGAGCUCGAAGAGAGAAACUCCAUGGUGGUGUCGGUUUUCGCCGGAAGUCCACGGUUUCGCCGGAGUUUGACGAAGACCGAACUUUGACUUCAGAUCUACGGAGUUAGGAGAUGCAACUCGUGAAAAGGUUUUCAGAUCUGAAAUCCUCGCGUCGAGACGAACGCGGUCAUAUAUAUAUACGCCACACUCGGGAAAAGAUAUUUUCGAGUUGACUUUUUGUUUUUCGGAAUUUCUGAAUUUAUUUAUCUGCGCGAAAACAAUUCCAGAAAUAGCCGGACUCAUUUUCUAAAGCGAGAAAAAUACCUAGAAAAUUCCGAAAAAUCUGAGAUAAAUCUCAGAGAUGGAUUGGGAUGCAAGGAAUCCAAAUAAAAUACUUGGAGCUCAUGAAAAGGAUUCUAGAGCCUUCUAAAAAUUAGAUUUAACUCUAGGAAAAGGAAAAUAAUUUCCGGAAAAAGAUGGAAAAUUCUCACAAGGGUCUGGGCAACGUCUAAACGUAUUUUCAAACUUUUGCACUCAAGAAACACCAAGAUGCAGCGACAUGAAUGCACAGACAUAGAACAACAUUAUUUAAUUUAAUAAAAGCAAACAAUUAUUUUUCCUAUACUAAAUUUCCUGUAAAGAAAAAUAAAUGUUGGGAAAAUUUUAAAAUUAUGAGAAAAUUAUUGUUUAUUUAUUCUUUUUAUUCACAUCUUGAAAUUCGGAAAUUUCAGGGUGUGACAGGUAGCCGUCCUCCUCCUCAUCCAGGAGCGCCUGGGCGAGGGCACGCAGUGCGGGGAGGCGGUGGCCCGGGAGGUCGAGGGCGAGGGCCACGCGAGACGAUCUGUUUCUAGGAUGGGUGGGAGCGGGACAGAUCCGCU